Phodopus roborovskii (desert hamster) is the source of this 135-nucleotide small nucleolar RNA. RefSeq annotates it as small nucleolar RNA SNORA70. The transcript has a single exon. The record is from RefSeq and is a predicted model, not a curated record. Lineage: Eukaryota; Metazoa; Chordata; Mammalia; Rodentia; Cricetidae.
CUGCAGCCAAUUAAGAUGACCAGGUUGCUUUCCUCAUGGGGGCCUGGUGAGCAUUGGCUGCAAACGGCAGCCACCACGAUGGUAUACACAGCACGCUGCCAAUCUGAAUUGCCCUAAGGGACCAUGGAGAUACUU